UACUGGAUAACCCAGCAGGAGACUUCGCGU
RNAcentral lists this non-coding RNA (30 nucleotides) under Rattus norvegicus (Norway rat). Lineage: Eukaryota; Metazoa; Chordata; Mammalia; Rodentia; Muridae. The record is from RNAcentral.